RNAcentral lists this ribosomal RNA (799 nucleotides) under uncultured bacterium. RNAcentral's name for it is "bacterial SSU rRNA". It matches the Rfam family "Bacterial small subunit ribosomal RNA", at positions 65 to 875 of the family's 1533-position model. The record is from RNAcentral.
AGCGGAGAUAUAUGGAGCUUGCUUUAUAUAACUUAGCAGCGAACGGGUGAGUAACACGUAGAUAAUCUAUCCUAUACUGGGGGAUAGCCCGAUGAAAGUUGGAUUAAUACCGCAUAUAGCUAUAUAGUUGCAUGAUUAUGUAGUGAAAGAUUUAUUGGUAUAGGAGGAGUCUGCGGCACAUUAGCUAGUAGGUGAGGUAAAGGCUUACCUAGGCGACGAUGUGUAGCCGGUCUGAGAGGAUGAACGGCCACAAUGGAACUGAGACACGGUCCAUACUCCUACGGGAGGCAGCAGUGGGGAAUAUUGCACAAUGGGGGAAACCCUGAUGCAGCAACGCCGCGUGAGUGAAGAAGGUUUUCGGAUUGUAAAGCUCUGUUAGCAGGGAAGAGGAAGGACGGUACCUGCAGAGGAAGCCACGGCUAACUACGUGCCAGCAGCCGCGGUAAUACGUAGGUGGCAAGCGUUGUUCGGAAUAACUGGGCGUAAAGGAUGCGUAGGCGGUUAAACAAGCUAUAUGUUAAAUAUAUAGGCUUAACCUGUAGAAAGCAUAUAAAACUGUUUAACUAGAGUGCAGGAGAGGUAAGUGGAAUUCCUAGUGUAGCGGUGAAAUGCGUAGAGAUUAGGAAGAACACCAGUGGCGAAGGCGACUUACUGGACUGUAACUGACGCUGAGGCAUGAGAGCAUGGGGAGCAAACAGGAUUAGAUACCCUGGUAGUCCAUGCUGUAAACGAUGGGUACUAGGUGUGGGUUGUGAAUAACAAUUUCGUGCCGUCGCAAACGCAAUAAGUACCCCGCCUG